This 566-nucleotide ribosomal RNA is filed under the name Bubalus bubalis (water buffalo). Its description in RNAcentral is "partial 16S ribosomal RNA". It matches the Rfam family "Bacterial large subunit ribosomal RNA", at positions 1810 to 2607 of the family's 2925-position model. The record is from RNAcentral. Lineage: Eukaryota; Metazoa; Chordata; Mammalia; Artiodactyla; Bovidae.
AAAACAUCACCUCCAGCAUCCCUAGUAUUGGAGGCACUGCCUGCCCAGUGACAACCGUUAAACGGCCGCGGUAUCCUGACCGUGCAAAGGUAGCAUAAUCACUUGUUCUCUAAAUAGGGACUCGUAUGAAUGGCCACACGAGGGUUUUACUGUCUCUUACUUCCAAUCAGUGAAAUUGACCUUCCCGUGAAGAGGCGGGAAUGCACUAAUAAGACGAGAAGACCCUAUGGAGCUUUAACUAAUCAGCCCAAAGAAAAACAAACCAAACCACUAAGGAAUAACAACACUCUUCAUGAGCUGACAGUUUCGGUUGGGGUGACCUCGGAGAAUAAAAAAUCCUCCGAGCGAUUUUAAAGACUAGACCUACAAGUCAAAUCGCUCUAUCGCUCAUUGAUCCAAAAAUUUUGAUCAACGGAACAAGUUACCCUAGGGAUAACAGCGCAAUCCUAUUCAAGAGUCCAUAUCGACAAUAGGGUUUACGACCUCGAUGUUGGAUCAGGACACCCUGAUGGUGCAACCGCUAUCAAAGGUUCGUUUGUUCAACGAUUAAAGUCCUACGUGAUCUG